GAUAACAAUUCCCCUGUAUUCGGUGGCGAGCUUGAUAGUGGGAUCCACGGGAGUGGAAAUAGCUCUACCAGGAAGGUCUGGGUGUUCCGAUAUAAGAUCAAGAGCAAAUUUUCGUUGUGUGAUGAUCAAACCCUCUGGGAUGUGCAAGAUUUCCAUUCCAAGAAAUUAGCAGUAUGUCAUCAACGUAUACUGCUAAGAGAGUGAUGAGUGAACCAGAGGCCUUGUAAAAAAGUGAAUAAUCUGUAAGUGAAGCAGUGAAACCUCAUCUACCCAAAGCUACAGAUAAAUGAGCAUACCAUUGGCGUGAUGCCUGCUUGAGCCGUAGAGAGACUUCCUCAGGUGCAAACAACAUUAUUAGAAGGUGGAGAGAUGCCAGGAGGAAAUCUCAUGAAGACUGCUUCAUCCAAGUCUCCGUGUAAGAAGGCGUUAUUCACGUCUAAUUGAAAUAAAGGCCAUGAAUUCUUGAUAGCAACAACAAGAAUGCACCGGAUAGUAGUCAUCUUCACUACAGGGGAGAGGUUUCUUUCCCGGAGACAAAGGGACAAUUUCCCAUGUGGAAUUGGAAACAAGAGCUUGAAUUUCAUUUUCCAUGGCAAUUUUCCAGCCAGGAUGAAGUGCAGCUUCAUGCUCAUUCCACAAAUCUGAGUCUCUUUGAGAAUAGAGUACACUCUCUGCAGUGUCCUUGCUCAAAGAAUUCAACAACCAUGCAAUGACCAUGUCAUUACAUCUUGACCAUUGCUCAAAAAGAGGUGAGGUUUCUUCUGGGAAUUCUGCUUUAUCAUUAAUGAAACAUAGUUUAUUUUUGGCUGAGAGUGAGAUUAGUACUCCUCUCUUCCAGUUCCCAUAACUGUUGCCAUCAAAACUAACACUUAUAAGGUUCAUACCAAGUGAAUCUGAAGCAUUCAAAUGAUAAGGAUGAGUUGGUGGAAGAACAUCA
Long non-coding RNA from Lycium ferocissimum, 937 nucleotides. RefSeq lists it as uncharacterized. The record is from RefSeq and is a predicted model, not a curated record. The transcript has 4 exons. NCBI's taxonomy places the organism in Eukaryota, Viridiplantae, Streptophyta, Magnoliopsida, Solanales, Solanaceae.